RNAcentral lists this ribosomal RNA (460 nucleotides) under uncultured bacterium. RNAcentral describes it as "partial 16S ribosomal RNA". It matches the Rfam family "Bacterial small subunit ribosomal RNA", at positions 338 to 795 of the family's 1533-position model. The record is from RNAcentral.
CCUACGGGAGGCAGCAGUGAGGAAUAUUGGUCAAUGGGCGCGAGCCUGAACCAGCCAAGUCGCGUGAGGGAGGACGGCCCUACGGGUUGUAAACCUCUUUUGCCGGGGAGCAACGGGCGCCACGUGUGGCGUCACUGAGAGUACCCGGAGAAAAAGCAUCGGCUAAAUCCGUGCCAGCAGCCGCGGUAAUACGGGGGAUGCGAGCGUUAUCCGGAUUUAUUGGGGUGAAAGGGUGCGUAGGAGGAUCGUUAAGUCAGUGGUCAAGUUUAGGGGCUCAACCCCUUCCCGCAGUUGAAACUGGCGUUCUUGAGUGGACGAGAAGUAUGCGGAAUGCGUGGUGUAGCGGUGAAAUGCAUAGAUAUCACGCAGAACCCCGAUUGCGAAGGCAGCAUGCCGGCUUCCGACUGACGCUGAAGCACGAAAGCGUGGGGAUCGAACAGGAUUAGAUACCCGUGUAGUC